RNAcentral lists this ribosomal RNA (253 nucleotides) under uncultured bacterium. RNAcentral describes it as "partial 16S ribosomal RNA". It matches the Rfam family "Bacterial small subunit ribosomal RNA", at positions 524 to 776 of the family's 1533-position model. The record is from RNAcentral.
UACAGAGGUGGCAAGCGUUGUUCGGAAUUACUGGGCGUAAAGGGCGCGUAGGCGGCCUUCUAAGUCAGACGUGAAAUCCCCCGGCUUAACCUGGGAACUGCGUCUGAUACUGGAGGGCUUGAGUGCGGGAGAGGGAUGUGGAAUUCCAGGUGUAGCGGUGAAGUGCGUAGAUAUCUGGAGGAACACCGGUGGCGAAGGCGGCAUCCUGGACCGACACUGACGCUGAGGCGCGAAAGCUAGGGUAGCAAACGGG